UACGUAGGAUCCAAGCGUUAUCCGGAUUUAUUGGGGUUAAAGGGUGCGUAGGCGGUUUGUUAAGUCAGGGGUGAAAGACGGUAGCUCAACUAUCGCAGUGCCCUUGAUACUGAUGGGCUUGAAUACACUAGAGGUAGGCGGAAUGUGACAAGUAGCGGUGAAAUGCAUAGAUAUGUCACAGAACACCGAUUGCGAAGGCAGCUUACUGUGGUGUCAUUGACGCUGAGGCACGAAAGCGUGGGGAGCAAACAGG
RNAcentral lists this ribosomal RNA (253 nucleotides) under uncultured bacterium. RNAcentral describes it as "partial 16S ribosomal RNA". It matches the Rfam family "Bacterial small subunit ribosomal RNA", at positions 524 to 776 of the family's 1533-position model. The record is from RNAcentral.